This 1475-nucleotide ribosomal RNA is filed under the name uncultured Bordetella sp. Its description in RNAcentral is "partial 16S-23S ribosomal RNA intergenic spacer". It matches the Rfam family "Bacterial small subunit ribosomal RNA". Lineage: Bacteria; Pseudomonadati; Pseudomonadota; Betaproteobacteria; Burkholderiales; Alcaligenaceae. The record is from RNAcentral.
GGUUUGAUUCUGGCUCAGAUUGAACGCUGGCGGGAUGCUUUACACAUGCAAGUCGAACGGCAGCACGGACUUCGGUCUGGUGGCGAGUGGCGAACGGGUGAGUAAUGUAUCGGAACGUGCCUAGUAGCGGGGGAUAACUACGCGAAAGCGUAGCUAAUACUACGCCCUUCGGGGAAGCGGGGGACCUUCGGGCCUCGCACUAUUAGAGCGGCCGAUAUCGGAUUAGCUAGUUGGUGGGGUAACGGCUCGCAAGGCGACGUCCGUAGCUGGUUUGAGGAGGACGACCAGCCACACUGGGACUGAGACACGGCUGAACUCCUACAGGAGGCAGCAGUGGGAAUUUUGGACAAUGGGGGAAACCCUGAUCCAGCCAUCCCGCGUGUGCGAUGAAGGCCCUUCGGGUUGUAAAGCACUUUGGCAGGAAAAACGGCACGGGAUAAUACCCCGUGCAACUGACAGUACCUGCAGAAUAAGCACCGGCUAACUACGUGCCAGCAGCCGCGGUAAUACGUAGGGUGCAAGCGUUAAUCAGGAUACUGGGCGUAAAGCGUGCGCAGGCCGGUUCGGAAAGAAGAUGUGAAAUCCCAGAGCUUAACUUUGGAACUGCAUUUUUAACUACCGGCUAGAGUGUGUCAGAGGGAGGUGGAAUUCCGCGUGUAGCAGUGAAAUGCGUAGAUAUGCGGAGGAACACCGAUGGCGAAGACAGCCUCCUGGGAUAACACUGACGCUCAUGCACGAAGAAGCGUGGGAGCAAACAGGAUUAGAUACCCUGGUAGUCCACGCCCUAAACGAUGUCAACUAGCUGUUGGGGCCUUCGGCCUUGGUAGCGCAGCUAACGCGUGAAGUUGACCGCCUGGGAAGUACGGUCGCAAGAUUAAAACUCAAAGGAAUUGACGGGGACCCGCACAAGCGGUGGAUGAUGUGGAUUAAUUCGAUGCAACGCGAAAAACCUUACCUACCCUUGACAUGUCUGGAAUCCCAGAGAUUUGGGAGUGCUCAUAAGAGAACCGGAACACAGGUGCUGCAUGGCUGUCGUCAGCUCGUGUCGUGAGAUGUUGGGUUAAGUCCGCAACGAGCGCAACCCUUGUCAUUAGUUGCUACGAGGGCACUCUAAUGAGACUGCCGGUGACAAACCAGAGGAAGGUGUAGGAUGGCGUGCCAAGUCCUCAUGGCCCAUAUGGGUAGGGCUUCACCCACGUCAUACAAUGGUCGGGACAGAGGUCGCCAACCCGCGAGGGGGAGCCAAUCCCAGAAACCCGAUCGUAGUCCGGAUCGCAGUCUGCAACUCGACUGCGUGAAGUCGGAAUCGCUAGUAAUCGCGGAUCAGCAUGUCGCGGUGAAUACGUUCCCGGGUCUUGUACACACCGCCCGUCACACCAUGGGAGUGGGUUUUACCAGAAGUAGUUAGCCUAACCGUAAGGAGGGCGAUUACCACGGUAGGAUUCAUGACUGGGGUGAAGUCGUAACAAAGGUAA